CGGUGGCCUUCUUAGAGACAACACUGUUUAAUGCUUGGGCGUGAACGUUGAGCGUCCAGUUGAGUGCUGCACCUACCACUAAGCGGUGAAAUCAGCACUGAGUGAUGUACUUAUGGGCCUGGGCCAAAAUUCUUUUAUUUUUUUGUAUUAUAAAUAGACCUAGAACGCACCAGAGAUGUAUCUUUUGGCAGACAGAGACGUCAGAAC
RNAcentral lists this long non-coding RNA (207 nucleotides) under Vigna radiata. RNAcentral's name for it is "long non-coding RNA (VRAD_LNC016364)". Lineage: Eukaryota; Viridiplantae; Streptophyta; Magnoliopsida; Fabales; Fabaceae. The record is from RNAcentral.